AAUUUCAAACUGUGUCUAGUAUGUAAAGAGGCCUGUCAAGUAGCUCAACUGUCUGCUGAAUUAAAGCCAGAACUACAAUUUUUUUUUAAACCAAUAAACGAAUCGCUUGAUAAAAUAAAAGAGGCGUUUUCGUUUCAAGAACACAAUAUGAAAAGUUUGAUAAAAACGUUAACGAUUAAAUACGAUCAUGCAAAAAAAGAAAUUUUUCGAACACAUAAAAUAAUAGACGAAUUGAAAAGAGCAAAUCAAAAUCUUAAAGCUUCAAUAGAGAUGCGAACCAAUUACUCCUCAACCAGCACACCAAUGAGUGGAGCGUGUUCUCUUGCCAAUUUUAGCUUCAUGUCACCACUUUCAAAC
Agrilus planipennis (emerald ash borer) is the source of this 357-nucleotide long non-coding RNA. RefSeq lists it as uncharacterized. Lineage: Eukaryota; Metazoa; Arthropoda; Insecta; Coleoptera; Buprestidae. The record is from RefSeq and is a predicted model, not a curated record. The transcript has 3 exons.